UAAUCUGUUUGAGGCAGAUCUUCAUUUAGUUAUGGUAGAUUCACACAUGACUGCUCAAAAUCACCUACUACUGUAUGAACAAUAAUUUUCUAAGAUUUUGAUUGGAGU
This is a non-coding RNA of Populus trichocarpa (black cottonwood), 108 nucleotides long. The record is from Rfam. NCBI's taxonomy places the organism in Eukaryota, Viridiplantae, Streptophyta, Magnoliopsida, Malpighiales, Salicaceae.